CCUGUCCUGCCCUCCAGGCUCCUGGACUUCCCAUGAACUCACACUGCUGAUUUCCGGCCUCACAAACGCUCCCUUCCCCAGACCAUGGGGCCAGGGCUAAGCCCACAGGAAGGCUGGGCCAUGUCCCCCGCACCCAGGUCCCUGAGGGGCUGAGGCCUGGGCCCCCCAAGGCAGAGGCAAAGGGGCCACAGCUGGGUCCCUGCCUCCCUGGGACGGAGCCAGCAGGCUGGGGCAGGAGUCAGCUGGAGCUCUAAGCCACCCCGGUCCUCUUGAGCGCUGUGGCUGCGUCCUAGGCACUGGCGUCCCAACUGGAGAGAAUCUGGAGUCAGCGCAGGCCUCAGUCCUCCCUCCUCACUCCCAGCUGGCCACCAGCUCAAGAGAAGCUUCUGUAACCCCAAGAACUGUCGCCUGCCCAGAGCAGGUGAGGAAAUGCUCUGAGUCAGGGCGUUUCAGGCUAGCUGUGAGGGCACAAAGGAAGCUGUUUCUCCGAGCUUGGCACUGAGGAGUCAUAGCCAUGCUGGUAAAUGAGAGCCCAGGGCAGCAGUGGCAGGAGUUGAGUGUUUCCAAACCAUACUGCCGCAUGCCACACAACUAUGGACAAGCUGUGUCCACCUUCUGGGCCUCAAUUUCCCAUCUCUGAAGUCAAGCUGCUGUCAGCAAGGCGGGAGAGAACAGGGUGGGAACAUACCCCGACUUUGUGCCCACCCCAGCCGCAGAUUCCCCCGACCUGAAGCAGAUUCGGCUCUGGUGGAGGAGGAAAAGGGACACACAUAUAAAAAAGGAAACACUGCAAGGGAGAGAAAAGAAAAGGAGAGGAGCCCAGCAGAUCCUCCAGCCCCUGCCGCCAUCUGUGCCACAAGCCCUGGGGUCCCUCACGUCGGUCAACCCCGAGACAAUGCUGGAGGCAGAUUCCAGGCAGUUUUUUAUUCACGGCUCUUUGAGGGGUCUCCGCUCCAUAUGCGUUCAGCCCACCGCUGUGGUAAAGCCUGCGGCUCCCAGGAUUGACAUGGUAAUGAAGCCCUGCAGCAGCCGCCCUAGGUCUGCCCUGUGCACAGCAUCUUGCCUGCCAGCGCUGGGCCUGUUUGUCCCUGGCCCAAGCCUCCCUUUGUACCCCACAGCGGCUUUGCCCAGAAACCAAAGUGCCCGGAUGCUGCAUUCCAGGAAGUUGAGUUUGAUCAUUUUCAGGCACUGACAGUGGGCCUCAGAGCUAAGCAACUUCAUGCACUUGCUGUUGGGAAACCUUGUUAGCCAAAGAGGAAAGCCAGCCCCCCGGAAAAGUGAGGCGCAGGAGGAAGGCAGUGGGAAGAGAGGGAAAUUUGGCUAAUGAAUUUUCCUCGGACUCUACCAAAAGGCAUUUGCUCAAGUAAUUAGUGUAUGUGAACUUUAUUUAAAUAGGAUCCUGUCAAUGAAAGGUUUCUACAGGGAAGCAGUGAAACCUGGGAGGGUUUACAGAAGGGCGCUGCCAUCUUUAGCAAAUAUGCACUCUGCCACAUCCAAUGAUUUCAUUUAAUUUGAUUUGACAUUUAUGAGCCUUGCUGGGGCAAGAUGGGUAUUUCUGUACUCUCUUUGCUGUAACCUCACCUGACUGCACACAGCCCGGAAGAAUAAAUGUCACAGGCAUCAUGCUGCAGAGCCAGGGACUAUCCUGGGGAGGUGCAGCUUGGCUGGAAGGUGCAAGUGGACCCAUGCAGUGGGGGCUCUUGCGAGCUUCCACAGGCAGGCCCACCUGGGGCUCAGCAUGUUUUGUUUGGUUUUCUCACAGCCAGAAUGAAUUAGGGAAAAUAAAAUGUCCUUGACCACCUAUGAGAGCAACUUUUCCAGGCAGGGGUCCAGGAAGUCAUUUCAUUGUAAGAGAAUAGAGAGACAAGGUCUCUGUGAACAUCAAAGGCAAGAAUGACCCCCACUGCAGAACUCUCAAGCAUGCAGAGCAGGGCCUUGGAAAGGUGGUUGACUGGAACUGGCUGUAGGAGGUGACCCUGGGGUGAGACCUGGAGGGGUGUAGUCUGGUCCGCUC
This 2014-nucleotide long non-coding RNA is filed under the name Heterocephalus glaber (naked mole-rat). RNAcentral's name for it is "lncRNA (ENSHGLG00000034156.1)". Lineage: Eukaryota; Metazoa; Chordata; Mammalia; Rodentia; Bathyergidae. The record is from RNAcentral.